UACGUAGGGUGCAAGCGUUGUCCGGAAUUAUUGGGCGUAAAGAGCUCGUAGGCGGUUCGUCGCGUCGGCUGUGAAAUCCCGAGGCUCAACCUCGGGUCUGCAGUCGAUACGGGCGGACUGGAGUUCGGCAGGGGAGACUGGAAUUCCUGGUGUAGCGGUGAAAUGCGCAGAUAUCGGGAGGAACACCAAUGGCGAAGGCAGCUUGCUGGGAUGGUACUGACGCUGAGGCGCGAAAGCGUGGGGAGCAAACAGG
RNAcentral lists this ribosomal RNA (253 nucleotides) under uncultured bacterium. RNAcentral's name for it is "partial 16S ribosomal RNA". It matches the Rfam family "Bacterial small subunit ribosomal RNA", at positions 524 to 776 of the family's 1533-position model. The record is from RNAcentral.